This 427-nucleotide ribosomal RNA is filed under the name uncultured marine bacterium. RNAcentral's name for it is "bacterial SSU rRNA". It matches the Rfam family "Bacterial small subunit ribosomal RNA", at positions 360 to 804 of the family's 1533-position model. The record is from RNAcentral.
AAUCUUGGACAAUGGGGGAAACCCUGAUCCAGCCAUGCCGCGUGAGCGAUGACGGCCUUAGGGUUGUAAAGCUCUUUCAACGGUGACGAUAAUGACGGUAGCCGUAGAAGAAGUCCCGGCUAACUCCGUGCCAGCAGCCGCGGUAAUACGGAGGGGACUAGCGUUGUUCGGAAUUACUGGGCGUAAAGCGCGCGUAGGCGGAUCGUUAAGUCGGGGGUGAAAUCCCGGGGCUCAACCCCGGAACUGCCUUCGAUACUGGCGAUCUAGAGGUCAAGAGAGGCGAGCGGAAUUCCGAGUGUAGAGGUGAAAUUCGUAGAUAUUCGGAGGAACACCAGUGGCGAAGGCGGCUCGCUGGCUUGAUACUGACGCUGAGGUGCGAAAGUGUGGGGAGCAAACAGGAUUAGAUACCCUGGUAGUCCACACCGUA